GAGUUUGAUCAUGGCUCAGGACGAACGCUGGCGGCGUGCCUAACACAUGCAAGUUGAGCGGAGAUAUGGAGAGCUUGCUUCUUUAUUAUUUUAGCAGCGAACGGGUGAGUAACACGUAGAUUAAUUUGUCCUAUAGUUGGGGGAUAGGCCGAUAGAAAAUUGGAUUAAUACCGCAUACAGCUUAUUUAACCGCAGUGGGGGAGAUAGUAGGAAAAGGGGUAACUUGAUAGUAGGAGGAGUCUGCGGCAC
This 249-nucleotide ribosomal RNA is filed under the name uncultured bacterium. RNAcentral's name for it is "partial 16S ribosomal RNA". It matches the Rfam family "Bacterial small subunit ribosomal RNA", at positions 9 to 239 of the family's 1533-position model. The record is from RNAcentral.